Molecule: ribosomal RNA, 500 nt
Filed under: uncultured bacterium
Lineage: Bacteria
Description: partial 16S ribosomal RNA
Rfam family: Bacterial small subunit ribosomal RNA
Source: RNAcentral
UGGGGAGUAUUGCACAAUGGGCGAAAGCCUGAUGCAGCGACGCCGCGUGCGGGAUGAAGGCCUUCGGGUUGUAAACCGCUUUUGAUUGGGAGCAAGCGAGAGUGAGUGUACCUUUCGAAUAAGCACCGGCUAACUACGUGCCAGCAGCCGCGGUAAUACGUAGGGUGCAAGCGUUAUCCGGAAUUAUUGGGCGUAAAGAGCUCGUAGGCGGUUUGUCGCGUCUGGUGUGAAAGUCCAUCGCUUAACGGUGGAUCUGCGCCGGGUACGGGCAGGCUAGAGUGCGACAGGGGAGACUGGAAUUCCCGGUGUAACGGUGGAAUGUGUAGAUAUCGGGAAGAACACCAAUGGCGAAGGCAGGUCUCUGGGUCGUCACUGACGCUGAGGAGCGAAAGCGUGGGGAGCGAACAGGAUUAGAUACCCUGGUAGUCCACGCCGUAAACGGUGGAUGCUGGAUGUGGGGCCCCAUUCCACGGGUUCCGUGUCGGAGCUAACGCGUUAAG